RNAcentral lists this transfer RNA (69 nucleotides) under Ictidomys tridecemlineatus (thirteen-lined ground squirrel). Its description in RNAcentral is "Spermophilus tridecemlineatus (thirteen-lined ground squirrel) tRNA". It matches the Rfam family "tRNA". From Rfam's summary of the family: Transfer RNA (tRNA) molecules are approximately 80 nucleotides in length. Their secondary structure includes four short double-helical elements and three loops (D, anti-codon, and T loops). Lineage: Eukaryota; Metazoa; Chordata; Mammalia; Rodentia; Sciuridae. The record is from Rfam by way of RNAcentral.
GAGGUUGUGGCUCAGUGGUAGAGCAUUCGCCUGACAUGUGUGAGGCACUGGGUUCGAUCCUCAGCCCCA